Molecule: ribosomal RNA, 465 nt
Filed under: Vreelandella stevensii
Lineage: Bacteria; Pseudomonadati; Pseudomonadota; Gammaproteobacteria; Oceanospirillales; Halomonadaceae
Description: partial 16S ribosomal RNA
Rfam family: Bacterial small subunit ribosomal RNA
Source: RNAcentral
CCUACGGGGGGCAGCAGUGGGGAAUAUUGGACAAUGGGGGCAACCCUGAUCCAGCCAUGCCGCGUGUGUGAAGAAGGCCCUCGGGUUGUAAAGCACUUUCAGUGAGGAAGAACGCCUGGUGGUUAAUACCCAUCAGGAAAGACAUCACUCACAGAAGAAGCACCGGCUAACUCCGUGCCAGCAGCCGCGGUAAUACGGAGGGGGCGAGCGUUAAUCGGAAUUACUGGGCGUAAAGCGCGCGUAGGUGGCUUGAUAAGCCGGUUGUGAAAGCCCCGGGCUCAACCUGGGAACGGCAUCCGGAACUGUCAAGCUAGAGUGCAGGAGAGGAAGGUAGAAUUCCCGGUGUAGCGGUGAAAUGCGUAGAGAUCGGGAGGAAUACCAGUGGCGAAGGCGGCCUUCUGGACUGACACUGACACUGAGGUGCGAAAGCGUGGGUAGCAAACAGGAUUAGAUACCCCAGUAGUC